Molecule: ribosomal RNA, 253 nt
Filed under: uncultured bacterium
Lineage: Bacteria
Description: partial 16S ribosomal RNA
Rfam family: Bacterial small subunit ribosomal RNA
Source: RNAcentral
GACAGAGGGGGCGAGCGUUGUCCGGAGUCACUGGGCGUAAAGCGCGCGCAGGCGGCAACCUAAGUGUCGUGUGAAAGCCCCCGGCUCAACCGGGGGAGGCCAUGGCAAACUGGGUCGCUCGAGCUGCGGAGAGGCCCCUCGAAUUGCCGGUGUAGCGGUGAAAUGCGUAGAGAUCGGCAGGAAGACCAAGGGGGAAGCCAGGGGGCGGGCCGCAGGUUGACUGUGAGGCGCGACAGCGUGGGGAGCAAACCGG